Molecule: unclassified non-coding RNA, 331 nt
Filed under: soil metagenome
Description: partial contains 5.8S ribosomal RNA, internal transcribed spacer 2, and large subunit ribosomal RNA
Rfam family: 5.8S ribosomal RNA (bases 1-120)
Source: RNAcentral
GAUGAAGAACGUAGCGAAAUGCGAUAAGUAAUGUGAAUUGCAGAAUUCAGUGAAUCAUCGAAUCUUUGAACGCACAUUGCGCCCCCUGGUAUUCCGGGGGGCAUGCCUGUUCGAGCGUCAUUUCACCACUCAAGCCUCGCUUGGUAUUGGGCAACGCGGUCCGCCGCGUGCCUCAAAUCGAGCGGCUGGGUCUUCUGUCCCCUAAGCGUUGUGGAAACUAUUCGCUAAAGGGUGUUCGGGAGGCUACGCCGUAAAACAACCCCAUUUCUAAGGUUGACCUCGGAUCAGGUAGGGAUACCCGCUGAACUUAAGCAUAUCAAUAAGCGGAGGA